Molecule: unclassified non-coding RNA, 203 nt
Filed under: Hevea brasiliensis (rubber tree)
Lineage: Eukaryota; Viridiplantae; Streptophyta; Magnoliopsida; Malpighiales; Euphorbiaceae
Source: RNAcentral
UAAACUUUCAGAUGUUGGACGUCAAAUGGCCAGGCUACCCCUUGAUCCAGUCUACUCUAAGGCUCUCAUUAUUGCUAGCCAAUUUGGCUGCUUGAAAGAAAUGUUGAUCUGUGUUGCAAUGCUUUCAGUGGAAUCUAUUUUCUAUGCACCACGUGAAAAGUUGGAAGAGUCACGAAACGCAUUGAAAAGUUUUGCAAGUCCAG